CCAGAUAAACUACGAAUUCCAGAUAUCCAUACACGGGAGUCAGACUGCGAGUGAUAAGAUCCGUAGUCGAAAGGGAAACAGCCCAGAUCACCAGUUAAGGUCCCCAAAUCUAUGCUAAGUGGAAAAGGAUGUGGAGUUGCGUAGACAACUAGGACGUUGGCUCAGAAGCAGCCAUCAUUCAAAGAGUGCGUAAUAGCUCACUAGUCGAGUGGCGCUGCGCCGAAAAUUUACCGGGGCUAAGCAUAGUACCGAAACUGUGGAUGUGUUUUAAAGAGCACGUGGUAGGAGAGCGUUCUAAGGGCGGAGAAGUUGAAUCGAGAGGAUCAAUGGAGCGCUUAGAAGUGAGAAUGCCGGUAUGAGUAGCGAAAGAUAGGUGAGAAUCCUAUCCGCCGAAAGACUAAGGUUUCCUGGGGCAGGCUCGUCCGCCCAGGGUAAGUCGGGACCUAAGGCAAGGCCGAGAGGCGUAGUCGAUGGAUAACAGGUAGAGAUUCCUGUACUGUGUCAAAUCGUUAAGAGCGAAGGAGGGACGCAGGAGGUGAAGCACGCAUCGCGAUGGAACGAUGUUCAAGCAACAAGUGCGGUUAAGAGUCAAAUGCUUCUAACCAGCAACACGAGUUGUGAAGAGGAGUGAAUUAAAAGUAGCGAAGGUGUGGUAAUCACACUGCCAAGAA
Molecule: ribosomal RNA, 671 nt
Filed under: Lactobacillus crispatus
Lineage: Bacteria; Bacillati; Bacillota; Bacilli; Lactobacillales; Lactobacillaceae
Description: partial 23S ribosomal RNA
Rfam family: Bacterial large subunit ribosomal RNA
Source: RNAcentral